UAAAAUUUUAUUAUUAUAUUUUAUUUUAAAUAUUUAUAAAAUAAAUAAAUUUAUUUUUAAUAUUUUUUAAGAAAAAAUUAUUUUUAUUAUAGUUAAUUAGUAUUGUAAAAAAAAAUUUCAAAUUAUUUUUAAGAAAAGUUAAUUUUUUGUACCUUGUGUAUCAGGGUUUAUUAAAUAUAUUAAUUUAUUUUAUGAUCUCGAAUUUAAAAGAGUUAAAAUUUUAUUUUUAUUAUUGUUGAAUAAAUAUUGGAAAUAAAUUUUUUGUAAUGAAAUGUUAUUCGUUUUUAAAUAUAUCUAGUUUUUUAAGAAAAUAAUUUAAUUUUGAAUAUUAAUUAAUCAAGAAUUUUAAUUUUUAAUUUUUUGUUAUUAAUAUUUAGUAUUUUUAGGGAUUAGCUUUAAAAUAAAAAUUUAUUAAUUAAUUAUUAAUAAUAAAAUUGUAGGAUUAGAAGUUUCUUUCAUUAAAAAAAUGUUAUAAUUAGUUUAUUUAAUAAUAUUAUUUAUAUUAAUUAUAAGUUUUAUAUUAAAAUAUUAAUUUUAAUUUUAUAUAUUAAGAAAUAAUGAUAAAAUUAGUAUAUUUAAUUAUGUAUAAUUAAUUUUUUUAUAAAGGUUAAAUAAAGGAAUUCGGCAAAUUAAUUUUUCACCUGUUUAUUAAAAACAUGGCCUAUUGAUUAUAAUUUUAGGUUUAACCUGCCCCCUGAAUAUUUAAAUAGCCGCGGUAUUUUGACCGUGCUAAGGUAGCAUAAUCAUUAGUUUCUUAAUUAGAAGCUGGAAUGAAUGGUUGGAUGAGGAAAUUACUGUCUCUAUUUAAAUUUAAUAAAAAUUUAUUUUUUAGUAAAAAAGCUAAAAUAUAUUUGAAAGACGAGAAGACCCUUUAGAGUUUAAUAUAUUUAUAAUUUAUUAUUUAUUAGAAUUUAAAUUUUUAAUUUUUUAAUAUAUUUAAUUGGGGUGAUUAAAAAAUUUAAUAAACUUUUUUUUAUUUAAAUACAUUAAUUUAUGGUUUAUUGAUCCAUUAUUUAUGAUUAUAAGAUUAAAUUACCUUAGGGAUAACAGCGUAAUAUUUUCAGAGAGUUCUUAUCGAAGGAAAAGAUUGCGACCUCGAUGUUGGAUUAAAAUUAACUUUAGGUGUAGAUGCUUAAAAGUUAGGUCUGUUCGACCUAUAAAAUUUUACAUGAUCUGAGUUUAAACCGGUGUGAGCCAGGUUGGUUUCUAUCUUUAAAUAAUUUUUAAUAUUUUAGUACGAAAGGAUUAAAUAUUAGAAAUAUUUUUUAUAUUAAGAAUAAUUUUAAC
Molecule: ribosomal RNA, 1287 nt
Filed under: Bruchinae sp. GENSP01
Lineage: Eukaryota; Metazoa; Arthropoda; Insecta; Coleoptera; Chrysomelidae
Description: 16S ribosomal RNA
Rfam family: Archaeal large subunit ribosomal RNA (bases 1043-1201)
Source: RNAcentral